RNAcentral lists this ribosomal RNA (1091 nucleotides) under uncultured archaeon. RNAcentral describes it as "bacterial SSU rRNA". It matches the Rfam family "Archaeal small subunit ribosomal RNA", at positions 21 to 1106 of the family's 1478-position model. The record is from RNAcentral.
AGGUCACUGCUAUUGGGGUUCGAUUAAGCCAUGCGAGUCGACUGCCUUCUUCGGAAGGCAGGGCAGACGGCUCAGUAACACGUGGGCAAUCUACCCUCGGGUCUGGGAUAACCCCGGAAAACUGGGGAUAAUACCGGAUAGAUGGAGAGGUCUGGAAGGAUUUUCCGUCCAAAGCUCCGGCGCCCGAGGAUGAGCUUGCGGUCGAUUAGGCAGUUGGCGGUGUUAAGGACCACCAAACCUGAGAUCGAUACGGGCAGUGAGAGCUGGAGCCCGGAGAUGGGGACUGAGACACGGCCCCAGGCCCUACGGGGCGCAGCAGGCGCGAAAACUCCGCAAUGUUCGAAAGAACGACGGGGGAACCCCAAGUGCCUCAUCUUUUUUGAUGGGGCUUUUGCAUAGUGUAAAUAACUACACGAAUAAGGGCUGGGUAAGACCGGUGCCAGCCGCCGCGGUAACACCGGCGGCUCGAGUGGUGACCACUUUUAUUGGGCCUAAAGCGUUCGUAGCCGGUUCGGUAAGUCUUUGGGUAAAUCUUGCUGCUCAACAGUAAGAAUUCCGAAGAUACUGCCGGGCUAGGGACCGAGAGAGGUCGGAGGUACUCCUGGGGUAGAGGUGAAAUUCUGUAAUCCUGGGGGGACCACCAGUGGCGAAGGCGUCCGACUAGAGCGGGUCCGACGGUGAGGGGCGAAAGCCAGGGGAGCGAACCGGAUUAGAUACCCGGGUAGUCCUGGCCGUAAACGCUGUGGGCUAGGUGUUGCAUGCUCUACGGGGGCAUGCAGUGCCGAAGAGAAGUUGAUAAGCCUACCGCCUGGGAAGUACUACUGCAAGGUAGAAACUUAAAGGAAUUGGCGGGGGAGCACCACAAGGGGUGGAGUCUGCGGUUCAAUUGGAUUCAGCGCCGGAAAUCUCACCGGGGGCGACGGCAGAAUGAAGGUCAGGCUGACGACCUUACCAGACAAGCUGAGCGGAGGUGCAUGGCCGUCGCCAGUUCGUGCCGUGAGGUGUCCUGUUAAGUCAGGCAACGAACGAGACCCACACGCUUAGUUGCCAUCAAAAGCCCUUACGGGUUUGUUGGGAACGCUAAGCGGACU